CCUUAAUGGAUAUUUUUCAGCACAUUCCCACUGCCUCUAACUAGUUUGCACUAUUUGAAUUUGUCAGCAGUGGGUCUGUGCUGAUAGUACUAGAAAAGCUCGGUAUAGGCGAAAACUCAUCCGCUAAAUAUCUUUCUUCCUUUUUAUUUUAUUUUAUUUUAUUUUAUUUUAUUUCUUCUGUUUGUUUGUUUGGAAGAUUGUCGCCACAAAGGUUGAAUAAGGCUAAAAGGAGAGAAAAUUACCUUUCUGAUCUCAGCCUCCGGUUCUGUGAACUGGGCAGAACACUGCUGUCUGCUCAGAAAUAUAUAUAUAUUAUAUAUAUAUAUAUAAUUUUUUUUUUUUUUUAUAAAGAAAAGCUAAUGUUUUAACAAGGUUAAGAUGCUAUUGGAAAGGUGGAGAUGGCAGCUAAAAGUGGAAAUGCAGGAAAAAGGUAUUUAAAAGUCUCCCUUCCUUGCGGUCCCUGGAGAGGAGCGGUGACGGGUGGCUCUGGCUGACACCUCCCUGUCCCCGGGGGAGUCACGGGGGGGCUGUGCCACCGGCCACCCCCCUGGCACUUACCAAACGGGAACCAGAUCUUUCCCUUGACUCUGAAUUUUGGCUCCCUGUCCCCGAAAUCGCUCUGGCACAACUGUGUGCUUGCACUUUUUUUUUAAUUUCCCUUUUUUUUUUUUAAUUUCCCUUUUUUUUUAAUUUCCCUUUUUUUUUUUCUUAAUUUCUUUCCCUCACCCCACCCUGUGUUGUGUCCCCCCUCCCUCUGCAAGCAGAGGUGUCACCCAAACCCCCCUCUGCUUGGAGCAGGAUCUGUGUUUGAUUCCUCCCCAUCUGAGGCAUCCUGGGCUUGAAAGCACCUCAUAGAAUGGUUAUUUUGGGGCUAAAUCUGGCCCUGCCGUGCCCCGUCUGAGGGCUCUUCCUGCCGGGGUCCUGGGGUCCUUUGGUCCUUGGGAUUUGGGAAGAAACAUCCCUUAGGACUGGUUUGGGUCAGCAAGAUGAUGGAGAGAAGCAUCAGGGGUCAAACAGGGGCCGUUGGAGGUGCAAGUGUGGGCUCUGCCCGGCUGCCUUGGGCUGGGGGUUGAUUUUUUGGUUUAUUUUUUACCUUUUUUAUUACUGUAAGGUCCCAAAUGGGCGUUGCCACCUGUUUCUCUGUCCUGCUGCCCGUCGGCACGGCCGUCGCCCCGCUCCAUAACCAGGAGGGCCUGAUCCUGGGCCCAGACCUGGUCAAACUCUUCCCAAACUUAACCUGGUCUCACAGCCCGGGAUUAGAAACUGGAGGUUUCUCCUGAGAAACCUGGAGCCGGUGGCAGGAGGGGACAGGAGGGAGGGAGGGCUGGUGGCAUCUAACCCUUGUGUAGAGGUGGUACGACACGUGUU
Molecule: long non-coding RNA, 1368 nt
Filed under: Calidris pugnax (ruff)
Lineage: Eukaryota; Metazoa; Chordata; Aves; Charadriiformes; Scolopacidae
Description: lncRNA (ENSCPUG00000014394.1)
Source: RNAcentral